CAACCCUCAAGCUCAGCUUGGUAUUGGGUGUUACCUAGCAAUGGUGCAUCUUAAAAUCAGUAGCGGUGCCAUCUGGCUUCAAGCGUAGUAAUUUUCUCGCUUUGGAAGUUCAGGUGUGUACUUGCUAAUAAACCCCUAAUUUUUCAAA
Molecule: unclassified non-coding RNA, 148 nt
Filed under: uncultured Helotiales
Lineage: Eukaryota; Fungi; Ascomycota; Leotiomycetes; Helotiales
Description: sequence contains ITS2
Source: RNAcentral